GAUUAUGCUACCUUUGCACGGUUAAAAAACCGCGGCUCUUUAAAAAUACGCUCAGUGAGCAGGCCAGACCUCAAAUAUUAACAAGAGGACAUGUUUUUGAUAAACAGGCGGAAAUCAAUUUUGCCUAGUUCCUUAUAAUAAGUUCACAAGGUAAAAAUUUUAUACAAAUAAAUAUACUAAUUCUUUCAUUAUUACAAAAAUUUUAAAAUUAAAUUAAUAAUCUUAAUAAAAAA
Schistocerca gregaria is the source of this 233-nucleotide long non-coding RNA. RefSeq lists it as uncharacterized. The record is from RefSeq and is a predicted model, not a curated record. The transcript is spliced from 2 exons. NCBI's taxonomy places the organism in Eukaryota, Metazoa, Arthropoda, Insecta, Orthoptera, Acrididae.